CCUACGGGGGGCUGCAGUCGAGAAUUUUUCACAAUGGGCGCAAGCCUGAUGGAGCGACGCCGCGUGGGGGAUGAAUGGCUUCGGCCCGUAAACCCCUGUCAUUUGCGAUCAACCGUUAUUAUUUAAAAGAUGAUAACCUGAUAGUAGCGAAAGAGGAAGGGACGGCUAACUCUGUGCCAGCAGCCGCGGUAAUACAGAGGUCCCAAGCGUUGUUCGGAUUUACUGGGCGUAAAGGGUGCGUAGGUGGCGGUGUAAGUCGGAUGUGAAAUCUCCGAGCUCAACUCGGAAACUGCAUUGGAAACUACAUUGCUCGAGGGUUGGAGGGGGGACUGGAAUACUUGGUGUAGCAGUGAAAUGCGUAGAUAUCAAGUGGAACACCAGUGGCGAAGGCGAGUCCCUGGACAACUCCUGACACUGAGGCACGAAAGCUAGGGGAGCAAACAGGAUUAGAUACCCCUGUAGUC
This 464-nucleotide ribosomal RNA is filed under the name uncultured Verrucomicrobiota bacterium. Its description in RNAcentral is "bacterial SSU rRNA". It matches the Rfam family "Bacterial small subunit ribosomal RNA", at positions 338 to 795 of the family's 1533-position model. The record is from RNAcentral. Lineage: Bacteria; Pseudomonadati; Verrucomicrobiota.